RNAcentral lists this ribosomal RNA (273 nucleotides) under uncultured bacterium. Its description in RNAcentral is "partial small subunit ribosomal RNA". It matches the Rfam family "Bacterial small subunit ribosomal RNA", at positions 26 to 285 of the family's 1533-position model. The record is from RNAcentral.
AGAAUCAACGCUGGCGGCGUGCCUAACACAUGCAAGUCGAACGCGACUGGGGACUUCGGUUCCCAGUUGAGUGGCGAACGGGUGAGUAACACGUGGGUGAUCUACCUUCGAGUGGGGGAUAACGUUCCGAAAGGAACGCUAAUACCGCAUGACGUUCUGGGUUUGAAGACCUGGAAACCAAAGCCGGGGACCGCAAGGCCUGGCGCUUGGAGAGGAGCCCGCGUCCGAUUAGCUAGUUGGCGGGGUAACGGCCCACCAAGGCGACGAUCGGUA